Molecule: ribosomal RNA, 400 nt
Filed under: Escherichia coli
Lineage: Bacteria; Pseudomonadati; Pseudomonadota; Gammaproteobacteria; Enterobacterales; Enterobacteriaceae
Description: bacterial SSU rRNA
Rfam family: Bacterial small subunit ribosomal RNA
Source: RNAcentral
UUGCCCAGUCGAGGGGGAUAACAGUUGGAAACGACUGCUAAUACCGCAUACGCCCUACGGGGGAAAGCAGGGGACCUUCGGGCCUUGCGCGAUUGGAUAUGCCCAGGUGGGAUUAGCUAGUUGGUGAGGUAAUGGCUCACCAAGGCGACGAUCCCUAGCUGGUCUGAGAGGAUGAUCAGCCACACUGGAACUGAGACACGGUCCAGACUCCUACGGGAGGCAGCAGUGGGGAAUAUUGCACAAUGGGGGAAACCCUGAUGCAGCCAUGCCGCGUGUGUGAAGAAGGCCUUCGGGUUGUAAAGCACUUUCAGCGAGGAGGAAAGGUCAGUAGCUAAUAUCUGCUGGCUGUGACGUUACUCGCAAAAGAAGCACCGGCUAACUCCGUGCCAGCAGCCGCGGU